UUUCGCAAUGCCCGAAAGGGUGACGAAGCGACGCCGCGUGCGGGAGGAAGGCCUUCGGGUUGUAAACCGCUGUCGGGAGUUAAGAAAUGUAAGGAUGUUAAUAGCAUCUUUGCUUGACUAAGGCUCCGGAGGAAGCCACGGCUAACUCUGUGCCAGCAGCCGCGGUAAUACAGAGGCGGCAAGCGUUGUUCGGAAUUGUUGGGCGUAAAGAGCACGUAGGCGGCUAUGUAAGUCGGUUGUGAAAGCCUUCCGCUCAACGGGAGAACAGCAUCCGAUACUGCAUGGCUUGAGUGCGGGAGGGGAGAGUGGAACUUCUGGUGGAGCGGUGAAAUGCGUAGAUAUCAGAAGGAACGCCGGCGGCGAAAGCGGCUCUCUGGCCCAUAACUGACGCUGAGUGUGCGAAAGCUAGGGGAGCAAACGGGAUUAGAUACCCCGGUAGUCCUAGCCGUAAACGAUGGGCACUAAGUAGAGGGGUUUUAAUCUC
RNAcentral lists this ribosomal RNA (484 nucleotides) under uncultured bacterium. RNAcentral's name for it is "bacterial SSU rRNA". It matches the Rfam family "Bacterial small subunit ribosomal RNA", at positions 364 to 841 of the family's 1533-position model. The record is from RNAcentral.